This is a long non-coding RNA of Sinocyclocheilus anshuiensis, 132 nucleotides long. RefSeq lists it as uncharacterized. The record is from RefSeq and is a predicted model, not a curated record. NCBI's taxonomy places the organism in Eukaryota, Metazoa, Chordata, Actinopteri, Cypriniformes, Cyprinidae. The transcript has 3 exons.
GCCAUAUUUGAGGUCGAUGAAUGAUAGGCGAGCGUUUGGAUGUCCUGCCUGAUGUACUGUGUUACCAUAGACUAGCCGUUAAUGAUCUGUUAGUCACGGACUGCGUGACUUCGCCUUACUCCUCGGUGAAGG